RNAcentral lists this ribosomal RNA (254 nucleotides) under uncultured bacterium. RNAcentral describes it as "partial 16S ribosomal RNA". It matches the Rfam family "Bacterial small subunit ribosomal RNA", at positions 524 to 776 of the family's 1533-position model. The record is from RNAcentral.
UACGUAGGGUGCGAGCGUUGUCCGGAAUUAUUGGGCGUAAAGAGCUCGUAGGCGGUGCGUCACGUCGGCCGUGAAAACCUGCAGCUUAACUGUGGGCGUGCGGUCGAUACGGGCAUCACUGGAGUUCGGCAGGGGAGACUGGAAUUCCUGGUGUAGCGGUGAAAUGCGCAGAUAUCAGGAGGAACACCGGUGGCGAGGGCGGGUCUCUGGGCCGAUACUGACGCUGAGGAGCGAAAGCGUGGGGAGCAAACAGG